UUCAUGCACAUUAUUGGACACUUUAAUUUUUAAAAAUCUACAAUUACAUACCUUCAAGGCUGGCAGGCAGAGUAAGUAAAAUAAAUUGAAAUUAUGCUAUUGCUACAUGGCAGUGAUACUUAAGCUCUUAAUAAUCUCCAUUCUUUAGUAAUGUCCCCCGCCAAAAUAGCAUGGUUUACAUGCACAGGAAAAACUUCCAGAUGGUGAUAAUUCUUCAUAAUUAUUUAAAUAAUUUUUUUUAAAAAAUCCUUAUUUCUGAUAAAAUAGAAGUAACAUAAAAUUCAACAUCUUCACCAUUUUGAAGUGUACAGCUCAAUAGUGUUGGGUACAUUCACCUUGUUAAAAUCUUUUUAAUAUUCUAUUCUGUGCUGUCCAGUUUCUCAUCAAGUGUGAUGCUAUUCUCGAGGUGACCCUCAAAUCCAUGCCUGCACAAUAGAUGGGUUGAAUGAGCUAAAAUAUUAGGAAGAGAAGCAAAUCUUAUGAUGUAUGAGCCAUUCACUUAAAAGAGCACACUAUGAGAAGUGUGAGACACAUCACUGAGUAAAUAAAAAUGUGACAAUAAGGGAAUAUUGUGAGGACAAAGGAAAGUUAAUAGAGAAAAGCAGAAAAAAAAUUUCUGUAGACGUGACUACAAGACUAUUGUGAUUGUAAUGUGCCCCUCAGCCAAACUGGCUGUGGAUUUAUGUGCUUAGAAAUCUCACUGUUUCUCCUUAGAAUUUAUCCCUAUGGGGGUAAAAAUCCUGAUGAGGUAAGUUUAAAGAAUGCACCCUUGCAAAAACAAACAAUAAACAAACAAAAAACCACCCCAAUGAGACUGCUUUCUACUUUAUCCAGGAAUUUUGCAUCUCAAGUUAUGAAUAAUUUUGAUUAGUGGUUCUAGUGGUUUUUUUCCCUAAGCCUCUAGAUACAUGCUUCCAAACAAACCCAGAGCCCUACUAUAAAUAUCACUUGAUUCAUUAAAUAAAACUUUUCUUUUAAAGCUGAAUAUACAUUUUUGGUGUAUAUUAACAUCCAUGGUAUUUCCUUUUCCCUCAGGGGCACUAACAGUGGCUCACAAUUUUUCAUAUAAAAUCAUCAUUAACCUGAGGAGUGUUCCAACCCUUAUUCUCUUCCAAGCUGAGUUCUCUCACCUUUCCCAACAUAUUUUGAAGAGUGAGGCAUUUCUAAAGCAAGCUAUUCCUCUAUGGGCCUGAACAAAUGCCCUGUCUCUCCUCUAUUGCACGUGGAGAAAUGAGAUGGUACUCACCACACUAAAGAAAGCCAGGCCAUUGGGAAGAAUGUCAAUAUCUUCAGCACCAGCUUCUGUAAGUUCAAGCAAGUGGAGAAAUAUCAUUUUCAGAUUGUUAUUCAUUAGAGAUAGCAUCACUGGGACUUUGUUUAUUCUAUCAGAGUGUCUGUAUCUUUAUGGAUGGUUCCAGUUUAUUCCAGGACUCUAUUCUCUUUAAUAAAUGUCAGUCUAAAACCUUU
Ictidomys tridecemlineatus (thirteen-lined ground squirrel) is the source of this 1467-nucleotide non-coding RNA. The record is from RefSeq and is a predicted model, not a curated record. NCBI's taxonomy places the organism in Eukaryota, Metazoa, Chordata, Mammalia, Rodentia, Sciuridae.